UAGGGAAUCUUCCACAAUGGGCGAAAGCCUGAUGGAGCAACGCCGCGUGUGUGAUGAAGGGUUUCGGCUCGUAAAACACUGUUGUAAGAGAAAAAUGACAUUGAGAGUAACUGUUCAAUGUGUGACGGUAUCUUACCAGAAAGGAACGGCUAAAUACGUGCCAG
RNAcentral lists this ribosomal RNA (164 nucleotides) under uncultured bacterium. RNAcentral describes it as "partial 16S rRNA". It matches the Rfam family "Bacterial small subunit ribosomal RNA", at positions 355 to 511 of the family's 1533-position model. The record is from RNAcentral.